UACAUAGGUGGCAAGCGUUAUCCGGAUUUAUUGGGCGUAAAGCGUGCGUAGACGGUUUAACAAGUUUGAGGUCAAAGCCCAAAGCUUAACUUUGGUGUGCCUUGAAAACUGUUAGACUAGAGUUUGGGAGAGGUUGAUGGAAUUCCAUGUGUAGCGGUGAAAUGCGUAGAUAUAUGGAGGAACACCAGUGGCGAAGGCGGUCAACUGGCCCAUCACUGACGUUUAGGCACGAAAGCGUGGGGAGCAAAUAGG
This 252-nucleotide ribosomal RNA is filed under the name uncultured bacterium. RNAcentral's name for it is "partial 16S ribosomal RNA". It matches the Rfam family "Bacterial small subunit ribosomal RNA", at positions 524 to 776 of the family's 1533-position model. The record is from RNAcentral.